Molecule: long non-coding RNA, 338 nt
Filed under: Homo sapiens (human)
Lineage: Eukaryota; Metazoa; Chordata; Mammalia; Primates; Hominidae
Description: HSALNT0157436
Source: RNAcentral
GCUCCCUGCAGCAUUUUUAGAAGGUACCAAAUAAGAAAAACGUGGAUGAAGAUGGAGAAAGCAUACAAAACUUUUACACACUGGUUUGAAGGGCAAGCCGUUGUACAUUCCUUGAAGUCAGGUGCUCUGCUCAACAGAAGGUGUGCUGAAUAACGUUACAGGCUCUGUUCCCGGGAGACGUGGAAGGAAAAGUGAAAACACAAAACAACAGUAUUUAGAAGUGAAGCUGUCACCGCGCGGAACAUAAAGAACAGGCCAAGACCAGUGCAGGCAUCGACGACUUUCUCCAUUCAGAGCCUCCGCGCAUCCCAAAUAAAUAAACACAUCAAAACGUGCAA